Delphinapterus leucas (beluga whale) is the source of this 402-nucleotide long non-coding RNA. RefSeq lists it as uncharacterized. Lineage: Eukaryota; Metazoa; Chordata; Mammalia; Artiodactyla; Monodontidae. The record is from RefSeq and is a predicted model, not a curated record.
GAGGGGACGGCCGCCGCGCGUUCCCGCCCGCGCGGCCCGGCGGCGCCCUGGCCCGCGCUCAGCGGCCCGCACCCCACCUUCGCGAGGCCGGGGCGAAGCUCCCGCUUGGAACUUCCCGCAGACUUCGGGGGCCCUCGGGACACGCGUUCCACUGGCGUCCGGGAGGGCCCGGGUCGUCUCAGACGCACUAGCAGCAGAGAAGACGGCAGCGUGAACUGCGGCCCCAGCAAGCCCAGCACUCUUUCUCCUCGGGGAGCGAGACCCAGGAACACCUCUGCCCUGUGCGGGGCCACUGGCCACCAUGUCCAGUCCCACCAACAACGCCACCAAGCCUGCCGUUCCAUACGGUCAUUUCCAAAAGGUGGAAAAUUUGGUAACCAAACAAUAUUUCUGUUACCCAUA